Helianthus annuus (common sunflower) is the source of this 408-nucleotide long non-coding RNA. RefSeq lists it as uncharacterized. The transcript is spliced from 2 exons. The record is from RefSeq and is a predicted model, not a curated record. Lineage: Eukaryota; Viridiplantae; Streptophyta; Magnoliopsida; Asterales; Asteraceae.
CAUCUUCAAAUUAUCAUCAUCAUCUUCAAGUAACGACGGUGGUGGUUCUUAUUCCUAUGGAUCCUCCACCACUAGCCGCCGCUCCUCCCCCACCGCAACCACCCACCCCCUUCUUCCUUCAACCCACAAGAACAGAUUUGAACCUCCACCACUAGUCGCUGGAACCCUAGCUCCACCUCCACUAACGACGACGAUGAACGGAAGGAGAAGAAAGUGUUGCUGAUCAUCAGGUAAGAAUCAAUGGAUGCAGCAUAGGAAAAGAACGUGCCCCCACAAGACAAAAAGGAUGACCAGAAAUCAGUGGAUGCAGCAUUGAUAAAAUCUGUUGAGGCUGUUCCUGAUUUGAAAAGCUAUUUGGGUGCGAGAUUUUCACUCAAAGCAGGCAUGAAACCUCACGAGCUCGUCUUU